AAUUAUUUAUCUUAAUCAAAGAUUUUGUUUUGAAAACAAACUAUAAGAGUAAAUUCUCUUAAUAAUUU
Molecule: transfer RNA, 68 nt
Filed under: Anastatus formosanus
Lineage: Eukaryota; Metazoa; Arthropoda; Insecta; Hymenoptera; Eupelmidae
Description: tRNA-Ser
Source: RNAcentral